This 452-nucleotide ribosomal RNA is filed under the name uncultured Acidobacteriota bacterium. RNAcentral describes it as "bacterial SSU rRNA". It matches the Rfam family "Bacterial small subunit ribosomal RNA", at positions 43 to 527 of the family's 1533-position model. The record is from RNAcentral. Lineage: Bacteria; Pseudomonadati; Acidobacteriota.
CAGGCCUAACACAUGCAAGUCGAACGAGAAAGUGGAGCAAUCCAUGAGUAAAGUGGCGCACGGGUGAGUAACACGUGACUAACCUACCCUUGAGUGGGGAAUAACUUCGGGAAACCGAGGCUAAUACCGCAUAACACCUACGGGUCAAAGGAGCAAUUCGCUUAAGGAGGGGGUCGCGGCAGAUUAGUUAGUUGGCGGGGUAAUGGCCCACCAAGACAGUGAUCUGUAUCCGGCCUGAGAGGGCGCACGGACACACUGGAACUGAAACACGGUCCAGACUCCUACGGGAGGCAGCAGUGGGGAAUUUUGCGCAAUGGGGGAAACCCUGACGCAGCAACGCCGCGUGGAGGAUGAAGUCUCUUGGGACGUAAACUCCUUUCGAUCGGGACGAUAAUGACGGUACCGGAAGAAGAAGCCCCGGCUAACUUCGUGCCAGCAGCCGCGGUAAUACA